AUUGAACGCUGGCGGCAUGCCUUACACAUGCAAGUCGAACGGUAACAGGUUAAGCUGACGAGUGGCGAACGGGUGAGUAAUGUAUCGGAACGUGCCCAGUCGUGGGGGAUAACUGCUCGAAAGAGCAGCUAAUACCGCAUACGACCUGAGGGUGAAAGCGGGGGAUCGCAAGACCUCGCGCGAUUGGAGCGGCCGAUAUCAGAUUAGGUAGUUGGUGAGGUAAAGGCUCACCAAGCCGACGAUCUGUAGCUGGUCUGAGAGGACGACCAGCCACACUGGGACUGAGACACGGCCCAGACUCCUACGGGAGGCAGCAGUGGGGAAUUCUGGACAAUGGGCGCAAGCCUGAUCCAGCCAUGCCGCGUGCGGGAAGAAGGCCUUCGGGUUGUAAACCGCUUUUGUCAGGGAAGAAAAGGUUCUGGCUAAUACCUGGGACUCAUGACGGUACCUGAAGAAUAAGCACCGGCUAACUACGUG
RNAcentral lists this ribosomal RNA (477 nucleotides) under uncultured bacterium. RNAcentral's name for it is "partial 16S ribosomal RNA". It matches the Rfam family "Bacterial small subunit ribosomal RNA", at positions 30 to 507 of the family's 1533-position model. The record is from RNAcentral.